RNAcentral lists this long non-coding RNA (278 nucleotides) under Hordeum vulgare. Its description in RNAcentral is "long non-coding RNA (HVUL_LNC010518)". Lineage: Eukaryota; Viridiplantae; Streptophyta; Magnoliopsida; Poales; Poaceae. The record is from RNAcentral.
CCUGUUAUAUUGCAAUAGCGCAUGAAAGAUCUUUGGGGCAUGUUUCAUGAGCAAAACCAUGAAAGGGUGAUGGAUAGACAAGCUUAUGACAAAGAAAUAGCCAAGCAUAAAAAACAAAAUGAGUUUCUCCGAAGCAAUACAGUGAUCUUGUUGAAGAUGUUGGCAAGCUAUUAGAGUGGCCAGAUGCAAAGGCGUAGCAAAUGGACUAUGAGAAUUCAACAAAGGAUGUUGAAGAUGUGAGGGAGAAGAUGGCAGAGCUAGAGGAGAAGGGUAAGAUC